GUGCCAGCAGCCGCGGUAAUACGUAGGGUGCAAGCGUUAAUCGGAAUUACUGGGCGUAAAGCGUGCGCAGGCGGUUUUGUAAGACAGUGGUGAAAUCCCCGGGCUCAACCUGGGAACUGCCAUUGUGACUGCAAGGCUAGAGUGCGGCAGAGGGGGAUGGAAUUCCGCGUGUAGCAGUGAAAUGCGUAGAUAUGCGGAGGAACACCGAUGGCGAAGGCAAUCCCCUGGGCCUGCACUGACGCUCAUGCACGAAAGCGUGGGGAGCA
RNAcentral lists this ribosomal RNA (266 nucleotides) under uncultured Burkholderiales bacterium. Its description in RNAcentral is "partial 16S ribosomal RNA". It matches the Rfam family "Bacterial small subunit ribosomal RNA", at positions 505 to 770 of the family's 1533-position model. Lineage: Bacteria; Pseudomonadati; Pseudomonadota; Betaproteobacteria; Burkholderiales. The record is from RNAcentral.